UAGAAGUCACCUGGUCUCUGUGUUUGUUCGAUCCUAGGGGUUUUGUCGCCUCAUUCGAGAACUCACCAGUGAAUACCUGCCUGCUCGCUCCGCCGAUUCCACUGCCUCCACUCCACCCUUCGAGCUUCCAGCUCUCUUCCAUUCCCACCUCGCAUUUACCUUCGGAACCGCUGCACACCCUCUCUCAGGAACCUGGCAUCUCACACCCACGCCUCGAAAGACCCGCACCGAAGCUUCAAGAGGAUCAGCGUGUGAAGAUCACUUUAUAAUGAUUUGAAAAAGGUUGCCAUGGCUACAGA
Long non-coding RNA from Poeciliopsis prolifica (blackstripe livebearer), 299 nucleotides. RefSeq lists it as uncharacterized. The transcript has 3 exons. The record is from RefSeq and is a predicted model, not a curated record. NCBI's taxonomy places the organism in Eukaryota, Metazoa, Chordata, Actinopteri, Cyprinodontiformes, Poeciliidae.